This 998-nucleotide unclassified non-coding RNA is filed under the name Haliotis rubra (blacklip abalone). Its description in RNAcentral is "protein RER1-like, transcript variant X1". Lineage: Eukaryota; Metazoa; Mollusca; Gastropoda; Lepetellida; Haliotidae. The record is from RNAcentral.
GAUGUUCAAAAUGGAGUCGGCUUCGUGACAGCGAGGCAUUGCAACGUGGCCGGAUGAUUAAAACCCAGAUAAUUGCGUGGUGUUUUUCGAUUUAGAACAUUUGUGUGCAUUUCCAGGAUCAUUGACAUCAAGGUGCCCAUUUCACGUUAAAUUCUUUAGAACAGGAUGUCAGCCAUCAUUGAAGAGCCCCAAACACAAUCAAAGCCUAAUGUUAUAGCAAGAGCGUAUAGACAUUUUAGUGAGCGUCAACAGUACUGGUUAGAUCGGGCCACACCCCACAACACAGGAAGAUGGGUUUUUUCAGUUGUCCUGGCAGCCCUGUAUCUACUCAGAGUCUAUCUUCUCCAGGGCUGGUAUAUAGUAACAUAUGCACUCGGCAUCUACCUGUUGAAUCUAUUUAUAGCUUUCCUUACACCAAAAAUAGAUCCUGCUCUUUUAGAUGACAAUGAUGAUGGUCCGUCAUUGCCAACGAAAGCAAAUGAAGAGUUUCGUCCUUUUAUGAGAAGAUUACCAGAAUUUAAAUUUUGGUACUCUGCUUCCAAGGCCAUAGUGGUGGCAAUGAUAUGUACAUUUUUUGAUGCACUUAACAUCCCUGUAUUCUGGCCCAUCCUCGUCAUGUAUUUCAUCAUUCUGUUCACCAUUACCAUGAAAAGGCAGAUAAAACAUAUGAUAAAAUAUAGGUAUCUGCCAUUCAGCCAUGGAAAAGCAAAAUACAAGGGCAAGGAAGAUUCUGGCAAAGUUGUCUCCAAUUAAAUACACCAGACAAUACAGGGAAGGACAUCGUUGGGUCAUCACCCCAUCGACUGUAGAGACCAUCGGUGCCAUGAUCUGUUCCAACAAAUGUGUACAGAACUUUUAACUGUUGUCAUAGUCAAAUGAAUUUGAUGUCCUGGAUGUUCUCAUGAGGAGAGUUUGAAAGUUGUACAUAGAGCUUGUGAGUUAUCUCCCCAGGGUACGUUGUAGUUACCCCCACUGUUCAUGUUAUGGAAUUGAAAUAA